GGGUGCGAUCAUACCAGCACUAAUUCACCGGA
Molecule: ribosomal RNA, 32 nt
Filed under: Platanus occidentalis var. palmeri
Lineage: Eukaryota; Viridiplantae; Streptophyta; Magnoliopsida; Proteales; Platanaceae
Source: RNAcentral